CGGCCUAGAGAAGAAGGACAUCGCAACAUAAGUUCCUGUAAUUAUCCCAAUGGCACUUGUCACUAGCAAGAGCCUGAUAUGGAUGCGUUAAUUUUCAACAUACCAUUUCUGCUUACCUCAGCAAGGGAGUGAACAAGCCUCAGCUGGGAUCUGCAAACUUUGCAGGUAGGCAAGAAGCAGUUGCUUUUGGUUUUGCUUCAGUCUAUGUACCUGCGUGUUUGCAUUUCCUCCAGUGUGCGGUCAGUUUCAUCAGAGUGAUCGUAGAGAAGAGAAGGGCGGAAAACCUCAGGGCUUACCUAGCAGGGAUCCCUUACUUAGCAGCUUGGAAGCAAAAUUUGGGAACAAAGAUCUAAGAAGACACUGAGUGUGAAACAGGAGGUGUUGGACUCGGCAUCGUAGAAGGCUGUUUGCUCGCCUUGCUGCAGACACCGCACUACCACCCCACCCUUGGCUCUAAGCAAGACAUUCAUAAAGGUAAGUGUUUCAAGAAGCUUUACUACCUGAUACAGUUGCUUACCACCUCUGAUGAUGUCCUACUGAAUGUGUAUUUAAUUCUUACACACGUAUGCCACGACUACUGUGUGCAGUCAGCCUUCACGGUUAGCUCGUACUGCAGAAGGGAGAGGCACACAGAGAUCAGCCGGGUCUCCCAGCUAAAGGACUUGUCUUUGAGAAACGCUGGCAAAGUUUUCCCUUGGUCCCGUUCGCUAUGCUGUCUGCAGUUGGUUGUCAUUUUGAAGUUAGUAGCCACAAAUUGUUUUGUCAUAUUUUGGAAGGUGGGAAAUACAGGGAAGAAACAACCCAACACCGACCAUGCUGUGUGAGGACUGUAUGAAGGAAAGGUCUGUGCAUCGGAAACGAACUUGGACGUGGGAAGCCCCUAACAAACGAAAGGAUGAAGACCUGCUGACGUACUACGUGCGUUGUCAGGAUGCAAAAAGGAGAUGUUUAAAUCAAGACCGGGAAAACUUUUUCCAUCUGCCUGUUUCUGACUCAGUGAUUAGAGACAUUAAAGUACUUCAGGCAUUCAUCAAGAAGUAUGAACCACGUGGAGCCAGUUUUAGCAAAGAAGAAGUUGUUAUCAUCAGUGAAGACUAAAUAAAGUUUGCAAACUGAGAUCAUCAAUGUACCCAUACUACGAUGGAGACUCAAACUAAGUUGAUGUGCUUCCGUGUGGUGGAGAUAACCAGCAUUACUUAAUUACGUUAAUUUGGAGAGACAUACUUAAGUAGAUAAGAGAUGCACCAAUUCUAUCUGUGUGAUAAUCAAUUAAAACCGUAAUUUGGUUGUAUAAUCUUUCUAAUCCAACAGCUGUGGAGAGGAGGUAAAGCUACAGUACUACAGCUACACUUAUUUUUUUCUCACUACUGUAAGACCAGGAAGGAUUUGUUAAGCAGUAUAUACAAGAUAUCAGUAACCACAAUAAAUGUGUCCAGUCUGCAUUUCCCUUCUCUUUCCAGCAUUUCUUUUGGAGAAGAAAAGCUUAAACUGAGAUGUGUUCUGCUUUCUGAGGUAUUAAGAGACUUUAAGAAAUGCUGCACACCAGUGAUGCCGCAAUAGUUGCAAACAACAAAUCCUUUCCUGCUGACACUUUAUGCAAUCCAAAGAGCCUGCACUUCUCCUGGCAAACCUUCAAACACACCACAAGAUGAUGUCUCCCAGCUAAAAAAUACACUUGUUUAUUAAAAUCAUACAUGCAUGUCAUGAUUUGAUGAAAUUAAUCAUGUUUAUGUUUACUAAAGGAGUGUAUGUCUUCGGUAUGUUCUGCUGUAACCUUGCGUAAUAGUCUCACUUUGUUGUGGCCUGGAAUUACUGGACUUGCAAGUGGACUUGAAGGAAACUGAGCCUCCUGGGUGCUCUGAAAUUCACCCCUGCUAAGUACAGUCCUCAGUUUUAUUCCAUUUCAAGUAUGCUCAUUGUCAGUGAAAUCAGUAAGUCAUACAUAUAUAUUUGCACACUUGUUGGGUUAUGAAAUUUGGAACACACCGACAAAAAUUGGUGCUCCUAUUACUGUGUACCAGGGACUCUAUACGUUAAUCAUGAGACUAAACAUACUGAUCAGGUGAUAUUUAAUUUUUUUUAUUUUUUUUGGUAGCUGGUGAAAUGUCUUUGUAUAUUCUUGGGAUCAUACGCAUCUUACAACACCAAAUACAUCUUUCUGUAUAUGUCUGCUAGUGAGGACUGUUUGAGAAAGCCUUCAGAUUUUUGCCUUCCAGGAUCCCCUUCAGAUUACUUCUGUGUGCCUGUAUUCACUGCAAUCAGCCUCUUCAAUCAUAUUUUCAUACAUUAAAUGCAAUAAAACCUUGUUGAUCUGUAACUUAUGCUCAUUUGACAGAGUCAAGGGGAAACUAUUGCUUCUUCUUUUUCAUUUUCUUUCUUUCUGUUUUUCAUUAAAUAAUUUACCAAAUUAUUUUGCAGUUUGCUGCAUGGUUUUGGUUUGGUAUGCAAAAUCUGGAACUGCAGAAUUAACACUGCUGUGAGCGGGAGGAUCCCAAGUGAAUGUGGUAGUUGUGCUCUUGAUAGUAAUACGGCCUUUGCACUCAUAUUCAUGGCAUUUAAACUUGGCAAGUUUACGCUGUUUGUGCUGAGAACAUCAAGGUAAACUAUCGUCCUUUCAGCAAUAAAGUCUAUAGAAUCAUAAAAUAAGCGGAGGUUGGAAGGCACCUCUGGGCACUGCUGGUCCAGAACCCCUGUGUGGAGCAGGGUCAGCCUACAGCAGGAUGACCAGGACUGUGUCCACUUGGGUUCUGAGUAUCUGCAAGGAUGGAGGCUCCACAGCCUCUCUGAGCAGCCUUUCC
Molecule: long non-coding RNA, 2798 nt
Filed under: Anas zonorhyncha (Eastern spot-billed duck)
Lineage: Eukaryota; Metazoa; Chordata; Aves; Anseriformes; Anatidae
Description: lncRNA (ENSAZOG00000010857.1)
Source: RNAcentral